AAACCGGAUUUUCUAAAAUCCACCCAAAACUCAAAGAUUGCGAAUGU
Non-coding RNA from Thalassiosira oceanica, 47 nucleotides. The record is from Rfam. NCBI's taxonomy places the organism in Eukaryota, Bacillariophyta, Thalassiosirophyceae, Thalassiosirales, Thalassiosiraceae.